GUUGAAACAAGAAUGUAUGGCUAACCGAGACUAAAAUAGGCUCUGUGCACAAGCGUAUGGACGAACUUCCGCUUCAGCCAGAUGUCAGCAUAUCAUUUACCGGUUUACUACAGGCGAUCACCGGCGUUGCCCAAAAUGUCAGUUUUUAGUAGAUGUCUCCAAGACCUGCCUAAAAUAAGCAUUAGUGAUGUCCAUCAAAUUGUUGAUGCCUGGUCCCCUGCUCCAACAAGCAAGCGGAACAAGGGAUUCAAACUCUACAUAUCGAGUUAUCUGCACAACUACAAGGAGCCUGGUCCUAACUCAUCUACUACUUGUAGUAAGUGCUACAUCAACAAAUUGACAACUAGAUGCCAAAGAUGGUGAGCCCUUCUGCAACCCGAUUUUGUUUAUUGGUUCAAGCCCAUCGCAGGAAGGCUUCAAGAUGAUCGGCCUGAUGGUGGUGCUAUAAUCCAUAGGAAAUGAAUGAAGGUCAAAGGGGAUUGAGUGCUGG
Esox lucius (northern pike) is the source of this 490-nucleotide long non-coding RNA. Lineage: Eukaryota; Metazoa; Chordata; Actinopteri; Esociformes; Esocidae. The record is from Ensembl.